Molecule: ribosomal RNA, 494 nt
Filed under: uncultured bacterium
Lineage: Bacteria
Description: partial 16S ribosomal RNA
Rfam family: Bacterial small subunit ribosomal RNA
Source: RNAcentral
GACGAACGCUGGCGGCGUGCUUAACACAUGCAAGUCGAACGGUGAAGCGCCUUCCUUUUUGGUGGGUGUGGAUGAGUGGCGAACGGGUGAGUAACACGUGAGUAACCUGCCCCCUUCUUCUGGAUAACCGCAUGAAAGUGUGGCUAAUACGGGAUAUUCUGGGUCUGUCGCAUGAUGGGUCUGGGAAAGAUAUUGUUUCGGUGGGGGAUGGGCUCGCGGCCUAUCAGCUUGUUGGUGGGGUGAUGGCCUACCAAGGCGGUGACGGGUAGCCGGCCUGAGAGGGUGGACGGUCACACUGGGGCUGAGACACGGCCCAGACUCCUAGGGGACGCAGCAGUGGGGAAUAUUGCACAAUGGGAGCAAGCCUGAUGCAGCGACGCCGCGUGAGGGAUGGAGGCCUUCGGGUUGUGAACCUCUUUCGCCAGUGAAGCAGGCCUGCCUCGUUUGUGGGUGGGUUGACGGUAGCUGGAUAAGAAGCGCCGGCUAACUACGUG